This 239-nucleotide ribosomal RNA is filed under the name uncultured Lactobacillus sp. RNAcentral describes it as "partial 16S ribosomal RNA". It matches the Rfam family "Bacterial small subunit ribosomal RNA", at positions 123 to 354 of the family's 1533-position model. Lineage: Bacteria; Bacillati; Bacillota; Bacilli; Lactobacillales; Lactobacillaceae. The record is from RNAcentral.
AACCUGCCCAAGAGAUCGGGAUAACACCUGGAAACAGAUGCUAAUACCGGAUAAUAAUAGAUGAUGCCUAUCAACUGUUUAAAAGAUGGUUCUGCUAUCACUCUUGGAUGGACCUGCGGUGCAUUAGCUAGUUGGUAGGGUAACGGCCUACCAAGGCGAUGAUGCAUAGCCGAGUUGAGAGACUGAUCGGCCACAUUGGGACUGAGACACGGCCCAAACUCCUACGGGAGGCAGCAGGU